CAGUCGCCACGGUAAUACGAAGGGGGCUAGCGUUGCUCGGAAUGACUGGGCGUAAAGGGCGCGUAGGCGGAUUGUUUAGUUAGGCGUGAAAUUCCUGGGCUUAACCUGGGGACUGCGCUUAAUACAGGCAGUCUAGAGUGAGGAAGAGGGUUGUGGAAUUCCCAGUGUAGAGGUGAAAUUCGUAGAUAUUGGGAAGAACACCGGUGGCGAAGGCGGCAACCUGGUCCUUGACUGACGCUGAGGCGCGAAAGCGUGGGGAGCAAACAGGAUUAGAGACCCCCGUAGUCCCUGUCUCUUAUCC
Molecule: ribosomal RNA, 301 nt
Filed under: uncultured bacterium
Lineage: Bacteria
Description: partial 16S ribosomal RNA
Rfam family: Bacterial small subunit ribosomal RNA
Source: RNAcentral